RNA transcript from Toxorhynchites rutilus septentrionalis, 2198 nucleotides. RefSeq lists it as uncharacterized. Lineage: Eukaryota; Metazoa; Arthropoda; Insecta; Diptera; Culicidae. The record is from RefSeq and is a predicted model, not a curated record. The transcript is spliced from 3 exons.
AAUAAACACGAAAGCGUACUCUUUGGAUUUACGGUGUAUGUUUGUCUAUCUUACCUUGAACGAUGAAGAAAAACCUUGGGCAGAUAAUUCUAGAGUGUGAUAUAGAAGACUGCGGACGGAAUUUCAUCCGGAAGAUUAUUGGCUGGACUAGGGAAGUCAGGAUCGGAAACGGAACCAACAACAAUCUACAAUUGGCGACGAGCGAGGGAACCAGUGAUUAUGAUGGAUGAAAGCCGACCUUUGUCCAUGUUCCGCUGUGAACAGAUUGAAAGUAGCAAAUUGGCAAAGGAGUGGAUGGAAUGGAAGCUUGCUCUUGAGUAUUAUUUCGAUUCGUAUCAAAUUACGGAUCAAAAGCUCAUGCGAUCGAAGAUGUUGCAUUUAGGGGGACCUCAACUUCAGAAAGUAUUUCGGAAUCUGGAAGGUACUGAAGAUUUUCCGAUGGUGCUGCUCGAGAAGCCGUGGUACAAUCACGCAGUAAACAAACUCGAUUCAUAUUUCAAGCCACGUCGUCAGAACGUAUUGGAGAGGCAUAAGCUACGAAACAUAAAACAAGGACAACAACUGUCAGAUUGUGGUUUGGAAAAACACAGUCGAGAAGUACGAUGUGUUUUGGAGGAGAUUAUGUUGACUGACGUCAUCAUUGAGGGAUGCACAUCACAAGAACUUCGUCGGAAAAUUUUAGAAAAAGAUCAGUCAGUAGCAGACAUUGAGGCCUUAGGUGAAUCCUUAGAAAGUGUGCGGAUACAGGAGAAGGAAAUGACCAGUAACUCAAGCUCUCAUGGUGACGCUGGAACAUUGGUAGUUCGAAAGGUACAAAGGUUCGUCAGUGGCAAGGCUGAACGAAAGCAAGAUCGAGUGAUUAACCGUUAUUUUGGUAAAACAUCUACGAACGGAAGUGGAAAUGAAUCGAGAACUCUCUGCUAUGCAUGUGGAAAAUUUGGACACAUCUCAAAGGCCGAAAAUUGCCCGGCAAAAGGUCAAAAAUGUCGUCGGUGUCAGAUUGUAGGACAUUUUGAGAAGGUUUGCCGUAAGCGGCACAUGCAACAUCAGCGUACAGACACUUCAAAGGUAAGAGCUAUUGAUGUUGAAGUCGAAGCUACAUCUCAUGAAAAGGAAGUCUCCGAUGAUUGCCCUGACAAGAAAGUGUACUACACCUUCCACACUGGAAAUAGAACAAAUGAAAUUAAGUGUCGCAUUGGAAGGGUACCUGUUGUUAUGUUCGUCGAUUCCGGUUCAGAUGUGAACUUGGUUACUGCCGAAUCAUGGGAGAUGUUGAAAGUGAGCAACGUAAUAAUACAUAAAUGUACGAAAGGAAGCAAGAAAAUCCUUAAGGCAUACGGUAGCAAUGAACCGCUAGAAAUUCUUGGGACUUUCGAGGCAACCGUGGAAGUAGAUGAGCGCCAUGUCGACGCGGAAUUCUUCGUUACAGCGAAGGGACAACGAAAUUUGCUUGGAGAUGCUACAUCUAAACAAUUAGGUGUCCUGAAAAUUGGGCUAGAGGUGAAGCAAGUGGUCAGUGGAAUUAACGCACCAUUUCAAAAAAUUAAAGGCGUUCUGGUGCACAUAGAAAUGGACCCAAAAGUCAACCCAAUUUAUCAACCACUGCGUAGAAUUCCAAUUGCCCAGGAGAACGCAGUCAACAGGAAGCUUGAUGAUUUGCUGGCACGAGGAGAAGAAAGGCCCUGCCACUUGGGUAUCCCCAUUAGUAGUCGCAAAUAAGGCUAACGGUGAAAUUCGGCUAUGCGUGGACUUACGUCGUGUUAAUCAAGCAGUGAUCAGAGAACGCCAUCCUAUGCCCAUUGUUGAAGAUGUUUUGGCUAAAAUAGGCAGAGGAAAUGUGUGGAGUACUCUGGAUAUAAAAGAUGCUUUUUUUCUAUUAGAGCUCGAUGAGAAGUCCAAAAACAUUAUGACUUUCAUCACGCACCGUGGACUCUAUCAAUUCAAGCGCCUUCCUUUUGGUUUGGUCUCUGCACCUGAGAUCUUCCAACGUACCAUGGACGGUAUCCUAGCGGAUUGUGAGGGCGCUUACUGGUAUCUCGAUGACGUAGGAGUAGAAGGAAAAACAAUCGAGGAACACGAUGCGCGAUUGGAUAAGGUACUGAAAAGACUGGCUCAACACGGUGUAGUUUUAAAUCAAGAGAAAUGUCAUUUUCGAGUAACUGAAUUUGAUUUCCUAGGAUAUCAUAUAAGCUCCACAG